This is a long non-coding RNA of Leptidea sinapis, 1369 nucleotides long. RefSeq lists it as uncharacterized. The transcript is spliced from 4 exons. Lineage: Eukaryota; Metazoa; Arthropoda; Insecta; Lepidoptera; Pieridae. The record is from RefSeq and is a predicted model, not a curated record.
GGAGGCCUCAAGGAAUGACUUGAAAGGAACUCAAGUUUGGUAUUCAUAGUUGUCAGUUUGAGGAAUUCAUGAGGUUCCUCGAAUGAGUGUGAGUCGAGGUAAAACUCAUGAAUUACGUCAUCGUUUGGAGGAAUGCUAACCUUAUUAUUGACGAUUUUUUAUCUGUGGCUUUCAACUUCUUGUGUCAAGUGAUUAGUGAAGUGUCAAAUGAAAGCGAACACAUAAAUAAACAAAUAUUAACGCAGCGUAAUUCGAAUUCCUUAAAUGCACUUGAAAACAAAACCCAUGUUUUGCGCAAAAAAUACUGUGAUAUUUGUGAAGUGGGUGGCUUGGAGAAGAAAAUAUUUUGUUCGCUUCGCAGUAUACAAGUGAAUUCAAUCGUGUGUUGUUCUUAUUGAGCAAUUAUUUAAAAUGACUGCAACUGGAAGACAGCUUUUCAAUGAAGCCGAAAAGAUUUGUCUGCAGGAGUUAGUGAUCAAAUACAAAUUAAAUUCGAUAGCCACUAUGGGGAGCGCAGUGGCUAAAAAAAAUCCCUGGCUUAGCCUAACAGAGGAGUACAAUGCCAUAGAAACGAAUUCAAAAGUAAGUACUUACUGUAGUUGAAAAUAUAUUUUAUUCUAUUAUAUUCACUUAAGGCAAACUUUACGAAACAUUUGAGCAAUUAUUUCUUUAUCACUUUAUUUUUAGAGGACUGAGGCUCAACUUAAAAAAUGUUGGGACCAGGCGUAAAAGUAUGUUGGCCUUAGAGAAAAGGGAAAGGAUGAGGACCGGUGGUGGUUCCUCUAAUGCUUACAUACCUAGUACCAGUACUGGAGGAUGCUCUCGCUGAACAGACAGAUGUGGAGUUGGCAGAUGUAAUCGACAGUGAUAACAUACCUUGUAGUGCAGUAAUCCAAAUUGAUGAUGUGAUGUUGUUAGACAUGUCAUCUCAAGUACCAGCAGUUGAACAUGUGUCAGAAAGAGAAAACAUUAUAAACACUCCUCCACAUUUGACAGAGUCCCGGUUGACUGAUUAUAGUGCAGCUCCAUCACAAGAGUCAAGAAAUAUACGGACCAGAGUGAUUCAAGAAGAAUUUCAUAUCCGUCAACAAACAUGGAAAAUCUCAGAAAAGGGAAGAGGAGCUGCAUAAGCUCAGAAUAGCUGAGAAGGAGUGGAUGGUGAAGGUAGCAGAGGAGAUUUUUCUCAAAGCCAAAACUGAAAGAGAAGCUGCAGAGGAACUUCUCCUCUGCAAUAGAGCCAAAAGAGAAGAGGCUGAAUUAAGUUUAAGAAUAUUUAAAAAUAAAAAUUUUGAAAAUUAAUUUAGUAUUAGGUUGUAUGUAUAUGUUUAUUUCAAUUCUAUUGUGUAAUAAAAAACUUUAUUGCUUAGUA